Molecule: ribosomal RNA, 494 nt
Filed under: uncultured bacterium
Lineage: Bacteria
Description: partial 16S ribosomal RNA
Rfam family: Bacterial small subunit ribosomal RNA
Source: RNAcentral
GACGAACGCUGGCGGCGUGCUUAACACAUGCAAGUCGAACGGAAAGGCCUGCUUUCCCUUGUGGAUUGCGGGUACUCGAGUGGCGAACGGGUGAGUAACACGUGAGUGAUCUGCCCCCAACUUGGGUAUAAGCCUGGGAAACUGGGUCUAAUUCCCGAUCGGACUGCAGGGUGGUGCCUGUGGUGGAACACGAUUUUCUAGUGGUUGGGGAUGAGCUAGCGGCCUAUCAGCUUGUUGGUGGGGUACUGGCCUACCAAGGCGGCGACGGGUAGCCGGCCUGAGAGGAUGCACGGCCACAUUGGGACUGAGAUACGGCCCAGACGCCUACGGGAGGCAGCAGUGGGGAAUAUUGCGCAAUGGGCGGAAGCCUGAUGCAGCGACGCCGCGUGGGGGAUGACGGCCUUCGGGUUGUAAACUCCUUGCGACCGCGAGGAAGCCACCUGGUUGGAAGGGUGGUGACGGUAGUGGUAGAAGAAGCACCGGCUAACUACGUG